Molecule: transfer RNA, 73 nt
Filed under: Bacteroidota bacterium
Lineage: Bacteria; Pseudomonadati; Bacteroidota
Description: Bacteroidetes bacterium (activated sludge metagenome) tRNA-Arg
Rfam family: tRNA
About the family: Transfer RNA (tRNA) molecules are approximately 80 nucleotides in length. Their secondary structure includes four short double-helical elements and three loops (D, anti-codon, and T loops).
Source: RNAcentral
GCACUCGUAGUUCAAUGGAUAGAAUGACAGAUUCCGAUUCUGUUGGUUGUGGGUUCGAGUCCCGCCGAGUGCA